RNAcentral lists this ribosomal RNA (253 nucleotides) under uncultured bacterium. RNAcentral describes it as "partial 16S ribosomal RNA". It matches the Rfam family "Bacterial small subunit ribosomal RNA", at positions 524 to 776 of the family's 1533-position model. The record is from RNAcentral.
UACAGAGGGUGCGAGCGUUGUCCGGAAUCAUUGGGCGUAAAGGGUGCGUAGGCGGCGUGGCAAGUCUGAUGUGAAAUCCCGGGGCUCAACCCCGGAACUGCAUUGGAUACUGCCAUGCUAGAGUACUGGAGAGGAGAUUGGAAUUUACGGUGUAGCAGUGAAAUGCGUAGAUAUCGUAAGGAAGACCAGUGGCGAAGGCGAAUCUCUGGACAUUUCCUGACGCUGAGGCACGAAAGCCAGGGGAGCAAACGGG